RNAcentral lists this small nucleolar RNA (84 nucleotides) under Canis lupus familiaris (dog). RNAcentral describes it as "Small nucleolar RNA U3 (ENSCAFG00000045638.2)". The stretch from base 1 to 41 matches the Rfam family "Small nucleolar RNA U3", at positions 1 to 41 of the family's 219-position model. Lineage: Eukaryota; Metazoa; Chordata; Mammalia; Carnivora; Canidae. The record is from RNAcentral.
AAGACUAUACUUUCAGGGAUCAUUUCUAUAGUUUGUUUCUUUUCUAUUUUAAUGAAAAAUGCCACUUGAAAUUUGAUAGGGAUU